UGAAACUGCGAAUGGCUCAUUAAAACAGUUAUAGUUUAUUUGAUAAUCGAAUUUACAUGGAUAACCGUGGUAAUUCUAGAGCUAAUACAUGCUGGUUAGCCUGACUUUUGAGGAAGGGCUGUAUUUAUUAGAUAACAAACCAAUAUUCCCCGUGUCUAUUGUGAUGACUCAUAAUAACUGAUCGAAUCGCAUGGACUUUGUCCGCGAUACAUCAUUCAAGUUUCUGCCCCAUCAGCUUUCGAUGGUAGUGUAUUGGACUACCAUGGCUUUAACGGGUAACGGAGGAUUAGGGUUCGAUUCCGGAGAGGGAGCCUGAGAAACGGCUACCACAUCUAAGGAAGGCAGCAGGCGCGUAAAUUACCCAAUCCUAAUUCAGGGAGGUAGUGACAAGAAAUAACG
Molecule: ribosomal RNA, 399 nt
Filed under: uncultured eukaryote
Lineage: Eukaryota
Description: SSU rRNA
Rfam family: Eukaryotic small subunit ribosomal RNA
Source: RNAcentral